CCUACGGGUGGCAGCAGUGAGGAAUAUUGGUCAAUGGACGAGAGUCUGAACCAGCCAAGUAGCGUGAAGGAUGACUGCCCUAUGGGUUGUAAACUUCUUUUAUAUGGGAAUAAAACAGGGUAUGAAUACCCUCUUGUAUGUACCAUAUGAAUAAGGAUGGGCUAAAUGCGUGCCAGCAGCCGCGGUAAUACGGAGGAACCGAGCGUUAUCCGGAUUGAUUGGGUUGAAAGGGAGCGUAGGUGGAUGGUUAAGUGAGUUGGGAAAGUGUGCGGCGCAACCGUAAAAUUGAAGUUGAAACUGGCAGUCUUGAGUACAGUAGAGGUGGGGGGAAU
This 332-nucleotide ribosomal RNA is filed under the name uncultured bacterium. RNAcentral describes it as "partial 16S ribosomal RNA". It matches the Rfam family "Bacterial small subunit ribosomal RNA", at positions 338 to 667 of the family's 1533-position model. The record is from RNAcentral.